This 252-nucleotide ribosomal RNA is filed under the name uncultured bacterium. Its description in RNAcentral is "partial 16S ribosomal RNA". It matches the Rfam family "Bacterial small subunit ribosomal RNA", at positions 524 to 776 of the family's 1533-position model. The record is from RNAcentral.
UACGUAGGGGGCAAGCGUUGUCCGGAAUUAUUGGGCGUAAAGCGCGCGCAGGCGGCUUUGUAAGUCUGUCGUUUAAGUUCGGGGCUCAACCCCGUAUCGCGAUGGAAACUUCAAGGCUUGAGUGCAGAAGAGGAAAGUGGAAUUCCACGUGUAGCGGUGAAAUGCGUAGAGAUGUGGAGGAACACCAGUGGCGAAGGCGAGUCCCUGGACACUUCCUGACACUGAGGCACGAAAGCUAGGGGAGCAAACAGG